This 23-nucleotide non-coding RNA is filed under the name Cricetulus griseus (Chinese hamster). Lineage: Eukaryota; Metazoa; Chordata; Mammalia; Rodentia; Cricetidae. The record is from RNAcentral.
AUGGAUCGCCAGGUAGACCAUGC